ACUCCUACGGGAGGCAGCAGUGGGGAAUAUUGCACAAUGGGGGAAACCCUGAUGCAGCCAUGCCGCGUGUGUGAAGAAGGCCUUCGGGUUGUAAGCACUUUCAGUAGGGAGGAAGGUAGUGUAGUUAACACCUGCAUUAUUUGACGUUACCUACAGAAGAAGCACCGGCUAACUCCGUGCCAGCAGCCGCGGUAAUACGGAGGGUGCGAGCGUUAAUCGGAAUUACUGGGCGUAAAGCGCAUGCAGGCGGCCUGUUAAGUCAGAUGUGAAAGCCCGGGGCUUAACCUCGGAAUUGCAUUUGAAACUGGCAGGCUAGAGUCUUGUAGAGGGGGGUAGAAUUUCAGGUGUAGCGGUGAAAUGCGUAGAGAUCUGAAGGAAUACCGGUGGCGAAGGCGGCCCCCUGGACAGAUACUGACACUCAGAUGCGAAAGCGUGGGGAGCAAACAGGAUUAGAUACCCUGGUAGCACAGAG
This 472-nucleotide ribosomal RNA is filed under the name uncultured bacterium. RNAcentral describes it as "bacterial SSU rRNA". It matches the Rfam family "Bacterial small subunit ribosomal RNA", at positions 335 to 799 of the family's 1533-position model. The record is from RNAcentral.